Non-coding RNA from Schistocerca nitens (vagrant locust), 74 nucleotides. Lineage: Eukaryota; Metazoa; Arthropoda; Insecta; Orthoptera; Acrididae. The record is from the annotation of a RefSeq genome assembly.
GGCCCCGGUAGCUGAGUGGCCGGAGCGUAGGAAUGUCAAUCCUAAGGGCCCGGGUUCGAUUCCCGGCUGGGUCG